GACGAACGCUGGCGGCGUGCUUAACACAUGCAAGUCGAACGGUAAGGCCCUGCUUUUGUUGUGUGCUUGAGUUGCGAACGGGUGAGUAACACGUGAGUAACCUGCCCUUUACUUUGGGUUAACUUCAGGAAACUUGGGCAAAUACCCGAUAGGAGCUCCUUCUGCUUGGUUUUGGUUGGAAAGUUUCGGCGGUUGGGGAUGGACUCGCGGUUUAUCAGCUUGUUGGUGGGGUAGUGGCUUACCAAGGCUUUGACGGGUAGCCGGCCUGAGAGGGUGACAGGGCACAGAGGGACAGAGAAAGGGGCAAGAGGGAAACGGGAGGAAGGGGUGGAGAAUAGUGCAAAAAAGGCGGAAGGAGGAAGCAGGAACGCCGCGUGCGAGAUGACGGCCGUAGGGUUAUAAACCGUGUGCGCCUGUAAAGAAGAGUGAGUGACGGUAAUGUGUAAAGAAGCAACGGCUAACUACGUG
This 468-nucleotide ribosomal RNA is filed under the name uncultured bacterium. Its description in RNAcentral is "partial 16S ribosomal RNA". It matches the Rfam family "Bacterial small subunit ribosomal RNA", at positions 28 to 507 of the family's 1533-position model. The record is from RNAcentral.